RNAcentral lists this ribosomal RNA (868 nucleotides) under Proteus mirabilis. RNAcentral's name for it is "bacterial LSU rRNA". It matches the Rfam family "Bacterial large subunit ribosomal RNA", at positions 997 to 1850 of the family's 2925-position model. The record is from RNAcentral. Lineage: Bacteria; Pseudomonadati; Pseudomonadota; Gammaproteobacteria; Enterobacterales; Morganellaceae.
GCUAACGUCCGUCGUGAAGAGGGAAACAACCCAGACCGCCAGCUAAGGUCCCAAAGUCAUGGUUAAGUGGGAAACGAUGUGGGAAGGCCCAGACAGCCAGGAUGUUGGCUUAGAAGCAGCCAUCAUUUAAAGAAAGCGUAAUAGCUCACUGGUCGAGUCGGCCUGCGCGGAAGAUGUAACGGGGCUAAACCAUGCACCGAAGCUGCGGCAGCGACACUAUGUGUUGUUGGGUAGGGGAGCGUUCUGUAAGCCUGUGAAGGUGUGCUGUGAGGCAUGCUGGAGGUAUCAGAAGUGCGAAUGCUGACAUAAGUAACGAUAAAGCGGGUGAAAAGCCCGCUCGCCGGAAGACCAAGGGUUCCUGUCCAACGUUAAUCGGGGCAGGGUGAGUCGACCCCUAAGGCGAGGCCGAAAGGCGUAGUCGAUGGGAAACAGGUUAAUAUUCCUGUACUUGGUGUUACUGCGAAGGGGGGACGGAGAAGGCUAUGUUGGCCGGGCGACGGUUGUCCCGGUUUAAGCGUGUAGGCUGGUUUUCCAGGCAAAUCCGGAAAAUCAAGGCUGAGGCGUGAUGACGAGGCACUACGGUGCUGAAGCAACAAAUGCCCUGCUUCCAGGAAAAGCCUCUAAGCAUCAGGUAACAUCAAAUCGUACCCCAAACCGACACAGGUGGUCAGGUAGAGAAUACCAAGGCGCUUGAGAGAACUCGGGUGAAGGAACUAGGCAAAAUGGUGCCGUAACUUCGGGAGAAGGCACGCUGAUAUGUAGGUGAAGUCCCUCGCGGAUGGAGCUGAAAUCAGUCGAAGAUACCAGCUGGCUGCAACUGUUUAUUAAAAACACAGCACUGUGCAAACACGAAAGUGGACGUAUACGG